This 497-nucleotide ribosomal RNA is filed under the name uncultured bacterium. RNAcentral's name for it is "partial 16S ribosomal RNA". It matches the Rfam family "Bacterial small subunit ribosomal RNA", at positions 28 to 507 of the family's 1533-position model. The record is from RNAcentral.
GAUGAACGCUGGCGGCGUGCCUAAUACAUGCAAGUCGAGCGAACAGACGAGGAGCUUGCUCCUCUGACGUUAGCGGCGGGCGGGUGAGUAACACGUGUAUCACCUACCUAUAAGACUGGGAUAACUUCGGGAAACCGGCGCUAAUACCGGAUAAUAUCUUGCACCGCAUGGUUCAAUAGUAAAAUACGGUUUUUCUGUCACUUAUAGCUGGAUCCGCGCCGCAUUAGCUAGUUGUGAAGGUAACGGCUUACCAAGGCAACGAUGCGUAACCGAACGCAGAGGGGGAUAGGCAACACUGGAAGGGGGACACGGACAAGGAGCCUAAGGGAGGGAGCAGUAGGGAAUGUGACGCAAAGGGCGAAAGCAUGACGGAGUAAGGCGGAGCGAGAGACGAAGGCCUUCGGAGCGGAAAAAUCUGUUACUAGGGAAGAACAAAUGUGGAAGUAAAUAUGCAGGUAGUGACGGUAACGAAUAAGAAAGCAACGGCUAACUACGUG